ACACCGGCAGCUCUAGUGGUAGCAAUUUUUAUUGGGCCUAAAGCGUCCGUAGCCGGUUUAAUAAGUCUCUGGUGAAAUCCUGCAGCUUAACUGUGGGAAUUGCUGGAGAUACUAUUAGACUUGAGAUCGGGAGAGGUUAGAGGUACUCCCAGGGUAGAGGUGAAAUUCUGUAAUCCUGGGAGGACCGCCUGUUGCGAAGGCGUCGAACUGGAACGAUUCUGACGGUGAGGGACGAAAGUUAGGGGCGCGAACCGGAUUAGAUAUCCGGGUAGUCCUAACUGUAAACGAUGCGGACUUGGUGUUGGGGUGGCUUUGAGCUGCUCCAGUGCCGAAGGGAAGCUGUUAAGUCCGCCGCCUGGGAAGUACUGUCGCAAGACUGAAACUCAAAGGAAUUGGCGGGG
This 401-nucleotide ribosomal RNA is filed under the name uncultured bacterium. RNAcentral's name for it is "partial 16S ribosomal RNA". It matches the Rfam family "Archaeal small subunit ribosomal RNA", at positions 473 to 873 of the family's 1478-position model. The record is from RNAcentral.